UGAGAUAGCUCAGUUGGUAGAGCAUGAGACUGUUAAUCUAAGGUUACCAGAUUUUUUCCAAUGAAUCUGGGGACACUUUUCAACUUCCUACUAAAUAGAUGGCUUUUGUCAGGGGACUGAUUUGUAAAUCCGGGGACUGUCCCCAGGAAACGCGGACAUCUAGUAACCUUAUGUUAAUCUCAAAGUCAUGGGUUCAAGCCCCACACUGGGGGAAAAG
Non-coding RNA from Podarcis lilfordi (Lilford's wall lizard), 217 nucleotides. The record is from the annotation of a GenBank genome assembly. Lineage: Eukaryota; Metazoa; Chordata; Lepidosauria; Squamata; Lacertidae.